GACGUAGGGGGCAAGCGUUAUCCGGAUUCACUGGGCGUAAAGGGCGCGUAGGCGGCUACGUAAGUCGGUUGUGAAAUCCCCGGGCUCAACUCGGGAACUGCGACCGAUACUGCGUUGGCUUGAGGACGGUAGAGGCUAGUGGAACUAGCGGUGUAGCGGUGAAAUGCGCAGAUAUCGCUAGGAACGCCGGUGGCGAAGGCGACUGGCUGGGCCGAUCCUGACGCUGAGGCGCGAAAGCCAGGGGAGCGAACCGGAUUAGAAACCCCAGUAGUCC
This 274-nucleotide ribosomal RNA is filed under the name uncultured bacterium. RNAcentral's name for it is "partial 16S ribosomal RNA". It matches the Rfam family "Bacterial small subunit ribosomal RNA", at positions 524 to 796 of the family's 1533-position model. The record is from RNAcentral.